RNAcentral lists this long non-coding RNA (1078 nucleotides) under Anser brachyrhynchus (Pink-footed goose). RNAcentral's name for it is "lncRNA (ENSABRG00000011114.1)". The record is from RNAcentral. Lineage: Eukaryota; Metazoa; Chordata; Aves; Anseriformes; Anatidae.
AUGAGUUCUCAGGGGUAUUUCUCAGGGUACUUUUCCGAUCUCCUAGCUGAGCUGUGUGUGUGGGGCACAUGUGGGUGUGAAGUCUCUGCUCCUGUGUGUUGUCCAGGAACUGCUUUCCCUCUGGCUGUCUUUUCCCACAAGAAGAUUCUGGCUCUAUCUCCAGCAGCAACCCACCCAGUCCCUGAACAGAACUUGCAUUAUGGUAUUCCUGUGCUGAACAGCUCCGCAUUUGCUCUCCACCCCGUCGGGACAGACGGGAUGGUGGCUGAGGCAGCCGGGCCCCCGCAGCCUGCCCCAGGAGACACCACCAGCCGAGGUGGGUCGCAGCCACCAGAGGAUGUGCUGCCGCUGCUGCCACCUGGGGCUGCGCUUGAGCCUCCCCACAGGGUGCCCAAGCGAUGCGAGUGAUGUCCUGAACUCAAUUCCACCAAAAGGUAGCCCUUUUGUAUUUUAUUUUUAACUUUAUUUUUCCGUGUGCUUGCUUCUUCCCUCCAUCCGCUUGGGUCAGCACCCCUGGACAUGCCCAAAUGCUGGCUGGCAUGGGUGGGCUCCUGCCUAGAGGCUGUGCUGCAUCUUGCUCGGACUCCAGGGUCCAGCAGGAGAAAGAAACAACUGCACUCACUAAUGCAGCCUUUUGGGUGAAACAGGGGUUUGCUUUAUACUGGCUGUUGCACACAGAUAGCGUUACCUGUUUGUGCAGCUGAAAUGCUCAAGAGGCCAGCUCUCUAAAUAGUAGAAAUACGGACCUGGAUAAUAAUUGCCAAUUUGACAUCUAUCCAAGCUGUGAAGCACUGCUGAAGUGCAAGACCAGAGUGCCCUUCAGGAAGUCAUUUAGUAGUACCUCACGCAGUUUUUAAGCAGGAUCUGUACAUAAACUCUCCCAACAGAUGAGUUUCUAACCUAAAACCAUGCAGUGAGAAGGAUGCCAGGACCCCCUGAGUAGCCCAUUCUACUGUUUAAUUAUACCUACUGUUAGAAAGGUUUUCCCCCUAAUGUUUAACUAAAUCCUCUUUACUGCAAAUCAUGCUCAAGGUAGUGCGUGAAUAAAGUCAUGUAAAGUCUUUUGUUUAAAAAAAAA